Long non-coding RNA from Dermochelys coriacea (leatherback sea turtle), 349 nucleotides. RefSeq lists it as uncharacterized. The record is from RefSeq and is a predicted model, not a curated record. The transcript has 2 exons. NCBI's taxonomy places the organism in Eukaryota, Metazoa, Chordata, Testudines, Dermochelyidae.
GGUCAGUGUCUCGCUCACAGCCGCACAUUCCUCUGGGGACUCCUGGCAAGUUGAUUUAUUCUGUGCCUAAGCAAACAUCCUGACUGCCUGACAUUACUGCUCCCCAGCAGGGACAUGCUAAAGAGAAAUGACCUGAAGUACAAAUGUGAAGCCAGCACCUUCGAGCAGCACUGGCCCAGAGUGGAGGCCCCAGGCCUAGCUUUAAAAGACCUUAUGUUAAUAGCAGUGUUGCCAAAUCUCACCACUUCAUUGCAAGGCUUGUGGAUAGCAGCUAUUUUACUUACAAACCCAGCUCCUGGAGACUAUUGAUUAUGUGAAAAAUAAAUGGUUGCAGAGAGAAGCUUAAAAA